Molecule: ribosomal RNA, 482 nt
Filed under: uncultured bacterium
Lineage: Bacteria
Description: partial 16S ribosomal RNA
Rfam family: Bacterial small subunit ribosomal RNA
Source: RNAcentral
AUUGAACGCUGGCGGCAUGCCUUACACAUGCAAGUCGAACGGUAACGGGCCUUCGGGUGCCGACGAGUGGCGAACGGGUGAGUAAUACAUCGGAACGUGCCCGAUCGUGGGGGAUAACGAGGCGAAAGCUUUGCUAAUACCGCAUACGAUCUACGGAUGAAAUCAGGGGACCGCAAGGCCUUGCGCGGACGGAGCGGCCGAUGGCAGAUUAGGUAGUUGGUGGGAUAAAAGCUUACCAAGCCGACGAUCUGUAGCUGGUCUGAGAGGAUGAUCAGCCACACUGGGACUGAGACACGGCCCAGACUCCUACGGGAGGCAGCAGUGGGGAAUUUUGGACAAUGGGCGCAAGCCUGAUCCAGCCAUGCCGCGUGCAGGAUGAAGGCCUUCGGGUUGUAAACUGCUUUUGUACGGAACGAAAAGCCUUCUUUUAAUACAGGAGGGUCAUGACGGUACCGGAAGAAUAAGCACCGGCUAACUACGUG